CCCCUAGUAACUGCGAGUGAAGCGGGAAAAGCUCAAAUUUAAAAUCUGGCAGCCUUUGGUUGUCCGAGUUGUAAUCUAGAGAAGUGUUAUCCGCGCUGGACCGUGUACAAGUCUCCUGGAAUGGAGCGUCACAGAGGGUGAGAAUCCCGUCUUUGACACGGACUGCCAGGGCUUUGUGAUGCGCUCUCAAAGAGUCGAGUUGUUUGGGAAUGCAGCUCAAAAUGGGUGGUAAAUUCCAUCUAAAGCUAAAUAUUGGCGAGAGACCGAUAGCGAACAAGUACCGUGAGGGAAAGAUGAAAAGAACUUUGGAAAGAGAGUUAAACAGUACGUGAAAUUGCUGAAAGGGAAACGCUUGAAGUCAGUCGCGUUGUCCAGGGAUCAACCUUGCUUUUGCUUGGUGCACUUUCUGGUUGACGGGUCAGCAUCAAUUUUGACUAUUGGAAAAAGAUUAGGGGAAUGUGACAUCUUCGGAUGUGUUAUAGCCCUUGGUUGUAUACAAUGGUUGGGAUUGAGGAACUCAGCACGCCGCAAGGCCGGGUUUUUAACCACGUACGUGCUUAGGAUGCUGGCAUAAUGGCUUUAAUCGACCCGUCUUGAAACACGGACCAAGGAGUCUAACAUGCCUGCGAGUGUUUGGGUGGAAAACCCGAGCGCGUAAUGAAAGUGAAAGUUGAGAUCCCUGUCGUGGGGAGCAUCGACGCCCGGACCAGACCUUUUGUGACGGUUCCGCGGUAGAGCAUGUAUGUUGGGACCCGAAAGAUGGUGAACUAUGCCUGAAUAGGGUGAAGCCAGAGGAAACUCUGGUGGAGGCUCGUAGCGAUUCUGACGUGCA
RNAcentral lists this ribosomal RNA (832 nucleotides) under Cortinarius sp. 'pallidus 4' FS-2012. Its description in RNAcentral is "eukaryotic LSU rRNA". It matches the Rfam family "Eukaryotic large subunit ribosomal RNA", at positions 77 to 895 of the family's 3401-position model. Lineage: Eukaryota; Fungi; Basidiomycota; Agaricomycetes; Agaricales; Cortinariaceae. The record is from RNAcentral.